UAAGCUUCCAGGCCUAACACAUGCAAGUCGGGCGGUAACAGGGGAAGCUUGCUUCCCGCUGACGAGCGGCGGACGGGUGAGUAAUGCAUAGGAAUCUGCCUGGUAGUGGGGGAUAGCCCAGAGAAAUUUGGAUUAAUACCGCAUACGCCCUACGGGGGAAAGCAGGGGAUCUUCGGACCUUGCGCUAUCAGAUGAGCCUAUGUCGGAUUAGCUUGUUGGUGAGGUAACGGCUCACCAAGGCGACGAUCCGUAGCUGGUCUGAGAGGAUGAUCAGCCACACUGGGACUGAGACACGGCCCAGACUCCUACGGGAGGCAGCAGUGGGGAAUAUUGGACAAUGGGCGCAAGCCUGAUCCAGCCAUGCCGCGUGUGUGAAGAAGGCCUUCGGGUUGUAAAGCACUUUCAGCGAGGAGGAAAAGGGUGUUGCUAAUAUCAACGCCCUGUGACGUUACUCGCAGAAGAAGCACCGGCUAACUCCGUGCCAGCAGCCGCGGUAAUACGGAGGGUGUAAGCGUUAAUCGGAAUUACUGGGCGUAAAGCGUGCGUAGGCGGUCUUUUAAGUUGGAUGUGAAAGCCCCGGGCUCAACCUGGGAACGGCAA
RNAcentral lists this ribosomal RNA (600 nucleotides) under uncultured bacterium. RNAcentral's name for it is "bacterial SSU rRNA". It matches the Rfam family "Bacterial small subunit ribosomal RNA", at positions 37 to 626 of the family's 1533-position model. The record is from RNAcentral.